AUUGAACGCUGGCGGCAGGCCUAACACAUGCAAGUCGAGCGAGCGGCGGGCGGGUGAGUAAUGUAUGGGAAACUGCCCGAUGGAGGGGGCUAACUACUGGAAACGGUAGCUAAUACCGCAUACAAUCAGAUGUGCCCAGAUGGGAUUAGCUAGUGGGUGGGGUAAUGGCUCACCCAGGCGACGGUCCCUAACUGGUCUGAGAGGUUGAUCAGGCCAACUGGAACUGAGACACGGGCCCGACUCCUAAGGGAGGCAGGAGGGGGGAAUAUUUGACCAGGGGGGAAAGCCCGAUGCAGCCAUGGCGCGUGGUUGAAGAAGGCCCUAGGGUUGGAAAGUACUUUACGGCGGGAGGCGGUACCCACAGAAGAAGCACCGGCUAACUCCGUGCCAGCAGCCGCGGUAAUAC
RNAcentral lists this ribosomal RNA (406 nucleotides) under uncultured bacterium. RNAcentral describes it as "partial 16S ribosomal RNA". It matches the Rfam family "Bacterial small subunit ribosomal RNA", at positions 29 to 526 of the family's 1533-position model. The record is from RNAcentral.